Long non-coding RNA from Poecile atricapillus (Black-capped chickadee), 371 nucleotides. RefSeq lists it as uncharacterized. The record is from RefSeq and is a predicted model, not a curated record. NCBI's taxonomy places the organism in Eukaryota, Metazoa, Chordata, Aves, Passeriformes, Paridae. The transcript has 3 exons.
AAGAAAGAAAAAUCAUCCAAGAGAAAUUUCAUCUCCUCGUUCAGAAGCAAGAGGCUCUAGAAAAUCGAGUGGAUGUGUUGAUAUCUCACCUGGCAGCCUGCGAAGGCUUCCAGCAAAUGCCUGGUGAUGAAGAGCCCCAAGGUCGGCGGGAGGCACAGAUCUACACAGGCUCUUCCAUUGAAUCUGCUGCAGCAGCAGCAGCAGCAGCAGCAGCAUCUAAAGGAGCCUUUGUUCCCCAAGCUGAGCAGUGGAGCCCGGGCAGUUUGUCCAUUUCCAGCAGUGACACAUCUGCUGCUCAGCUACAGGAGAGCCAGGGAGACUUCCUGGAGCAACUGAGUACGUCUGGUGUAUUUCUUGUCUGAGGGACAGUG